RNAcentral lists this ribosomal RNA (435 nucleotides) under uncultured bacterium. Its description in RNAcentral is "bacterial SSU rRNA". It matches the Rfam family "Bacterial small subunit ribosomal RNA", at positions 29 to 507 of the family's 1533-position model. The record is from RNAcentral.
AACGAACGCUGGCGGCAUGCCUAACACAUGCAAGUCGAACGAACCCUUCGGGGUGAGUGGCGCACGGGUGCGUAACGCGUGGGAACCUGCCUUUAGGUUCGGAAUAACUCAGAGAAAUUUGAGCUAAUACCGGAUAAUGUCUUCGGACCAAAGAUUUAUCGCCUUUAGAUGGGCCCGCGUUAGAUUAGAUAGUUGGUGGGGUAACGGCCUACCAAGUCGACGAUCUAUAGCUGGUCUGAGAGGAUGAUCAGCCACACUGGGACUGAGACACGGCCCAGACUCCUACGGGAGGCAGCAGUGGGGGAAUAUUGGACAAUGGGGCGAAAGCCUGAUCCAGCAAUGCCGCGUGAGUGAUGAAGGCCUUAGGGUUGUAAAGCUCUUUUACCAGGGAUGAUAAUGACAGUACCUGGAGAAUAAGCUCCGGCUAACUCCGUG